This 159-nucleotide ribosomal RNA is filed under the name Salmonella enterica subsp. enterica serovar Heidelberg. RNAcentral describes it as "partial 23S ribosomal RNA". It matches the Rfam family "Bacterial large subunit ribosomal RNA", at positions 1 to 151 of the family's 2925-position model. Lineage: Bacteria; Pseudomonadati; Pseudomonadota; Gammaproteobacteria; Enterobacterales; Enterobacteriaceae. The record is from RNAcentral. RNAcentral also lists the same sequence under 3 other names.
GGGUUGUGAGGUUAAGCGACUAAGCGUACACGGUGGAUGCCCUGGCAGUCAGAGGCGAUGAAGGACGUGCUAAUCUGCGAUAAGCGCCGGUAAGGUGAUAUGAACCGUUAUAACCGGCGAUUUCCGAAUGGGGAAACCCAGUGUGACUCGUCACACUAU